RNAcentral lists this non-coding RNA (483 nucleotides) under Polyschismium alpestroides. Lineage: Eukaryota; Evosea; Eumycetozoa; Physariida; Didymiaceae. The record is from RNAcentral.
AAACUAACCUUGAGAGAAACAGGAGGAGCAGCUUAGCGAGCUGCUUGUAGCCUUCUAGUGCAUUCAACGCCUGGGAAAGGGGAAGCCCCCUGUUAACAGGUCCUGGAGUCUCGCCCCGCAAGGGGAGGGCUAGUUGGAGCGCAACACCACCUGGUUCGAGGAAGGCCCUUUAGGGACACCUGAGUUUGGCUAUAAACGAGGGUGGAACCUGCUUGAGGGGGUUGAUCUCGAUGCGAAGCAGGGUAGCGCCUGCUCGCGGUAACGUGCGGUAAGGGGUGGGUCUGGCUGCAAAGCUGGGCCUAAGGAACGUACUAUUCCAACACGAGACCCCGGCCAGGGUCGAAGUGUGCUCGGUGGGUGAGAGCUGUUUCUCAAGCCUGCUGGGGGGUCGUCUCGGGGGGAAGAUCACAUAUCCCUGAGAUAAUGGCCUGGUUGUGAUGGUUUUGGCGGAAGUAGGUAACCCUGCUUUCUUCAAAGCCAAAG